RNAcentral lists this unclassified non-coding RNA (588 nucleotides) under Hevea brasiliensis (rubber tree). The record is from RNAcentral. Lineage: Eukaryota; Viridiplantae; Streptophyta; Magnoliopsida; Malpighiales; Euphorbiaceae.
CUUUUCUUUUUUUUUUUUCCUUUGCUCAUAUGUUGACAUGCAUUAUCUUUUUAGAUAAUAUUUUCAUUGUCAAAUAUGAUGGGUUGCAUUUAAUGUGAGAGGAAAUAGUUCUAUACUUAUAGUAAUUAUUCAUUCACUAAUUCAAAUGCAAGCCUCAGUCAAUUUUAUAGAAACUUCUAACAAGUUAUCACCCUUUUUUUCCUUUCACAUUGUAGUUGUAUAAUUUCCAUAAACUUAUAGACCUUUUACACAGCUGAUUCAGUUUCAUUCAAACACGAACCAUAUAGCCCUUGGAUUUAUGGUGCGACCAAAAUUUUGGACAAUUUCUACUGCAUUGUCAAAAGCUUCAAUAUUUUUCCCCAAAUCAUAGUUUGUGAUUAGUUAGACCUGCAAUGGAAAACUUACACUAGGAUUUAUGUUAUGAUCAUUUAACCUGUUUUACAAAUUUUUGCAGCAACAUUUACCAAAUUCUAUUUAGCAAAUAACUUUUCAUAUCAGACUCAAAUUCAAGCAAACAGAUUCUAAAAAUGGAUAGCAAUCAAAAUUAUGAAGCAAAAAACAUCGCAACACAAAAUAAAUAAAUAAAUA